GAGAAUUUAAGCCCCAGUAAACGGCGGUGGUAACUAUAACCAUCCUAAGGUAGCGAAAUUCCUUGUCGGGUAAGUUCCGACCUGCACGAAUGGCGUAACGACUUCUCAGCUGUCUCAACCAUAGACUCGGCGAAAUUGCAUUACGAGUAAAGAUGCUCGUUACGCGCGGCAGGACGAAAAGACCCCGGGACCUUCACUACAACUUGGUAUUGGUGCUCGAUUCGGUUUGUGUAGGAUAGGUGGGAGACUGUGAAACUCACACGCCAGUGUGGGUGGAGUCGUUGUUGAAAUACCACUCUGAUCGUAUUGGGCCUCUAACCUCGAACCGUCUAUCCGGUUCAGGGACAGUGCCUGGCGGGUAGUUUAACUGGGGCGGUUGCCUCCUAAAAAGUAACGGAGGCGCCCAAAGGUUCCCUCAACCUGGACGGCAAUCAGGUGUUGAGUGUAAGUGCACAAGGGAGCUUGACUGCGAGACGAACAUGUCAAGCAGGGACGAAAGUCGGGACUAGUGAUCCGGCACCCCCGAGUGGAAGGGGUGUCGCUCAACGGAUAAAAGGUACCCCGGGGAUAACAGGCUGAUCUUCCCCAAGAGUCCAUAUCGACGGGAUGGUUUGGCACCUCGAUGUCGGCUCGUCGCAUCCUGGGGCUGGAGCAGGUCCCAAGGGUUGGGCUGUUCGCCCAUUAAAGCGGCACGCGAGCUGGGUUUAGAACGUCGUGAGACAGUUCGGUCUCUAUCCGCCGCGCGCGUCAGAAGCUUGAGGAAACCUGUCCCUAGUACGAGAGGACCGGGACGGACGAACCUCUGGUACACCAGUUGUCCCACCAGGGGCACCGCUGGAUAGCCACGUUCGGACAGGAUAACCGCUGAAAGCAUCUAAGCGGGAAACCCCCUCCAAGACCAGGCUUCUCACCCAUACAAGUGGGAUAAGGCCCCCCGCAGACCACGGGAUCGAUAGACCAGACCUACACACCCAGCAAUGGGCGCAGGGAACUGGCACUAACCGGCCGAAAACUUACACACAC
RNAcentral lists this ribosomal RNA (1023 nucleotides) under Mycolicibacterium acapulense. Its description in RNAcentral is "partial 23S ribosomal RNA". It matches the Rfam family "Bacterial large subunit ribosomal RNA", at positions 1907 to 2925 of the family's 2925-position model. Lineage: Bacteria; Bacillati; Actinomycetota; Actinomycetes; Mycobacteriales; Mycobacteriaceae. The record is from RNAcentral.